AUCAAACUAAGAUACACAACUUCAGCUACGUGAAGUUGGAGUUGACAUAUCUUAGUUUGAAUUUCUACGGCAUCCCCACUGCGAAGGUCAACAAAAGAAACUCUUCCAUCAACUUCCCUUACUUCUUGCAACCUGAUGAAAAACUGGUUAAACAAGGAUGCAAUCCCCAGUCGAUUUAGCGGGUCCUUACUAUACCCGCUAACUUGAACCUUGGGAGAUUGAUCUCUGAAGCAUCAAUCUCGUGGAGAUAUUUUCCCCUUGUUGCUCAGAAGAUAUCUUUCUUCCCCACAUCUGGUCCUCAGGAAAGUGCACCAUCUACCAGUAUUAUGCCUCAAGAUCUGGCAUUUCAAUUGUCUUCCUUUUCAGAGAAAGACUAGAUGAAACUCAUUCCAGAGACCAACAAUGCCAUGUCUUUGUGGACCACAAGGACUGCCUAAAGUGAGAGGUGCUUUCAUCUCUAUAUAUUAAGGUGGGAAGCAGUGAUAACAAAUCACUACCAUAUAUGAGGAAUCAAGUCUACUCAACCCUCCAAAAGUCUUACUACAAGAUAUCAUCAUUAGAAGGACAACGAUGAUCAUCAUGUAACUGAUAAACAAUGAUCAAGGAUCUCCUCCAAAAUCAUCCCCAUGAAGAUGCUAUAUGACAUCCGGUCAGAUGCUAUAUGACAUUCGGAGUGCUGGAUGGCAUCCAGUGAAUGAUGAAAAGGAACCAACAGGACAUUAAAUUGUGAUAUUCUCCACUUUCAUCCAUUCAAAACUUUAAAGGCUGUCGACCACACUUCAUUACAACCAAACUUUGGAAGAAGAUACCACUAAACUUGAUAUAAUUAAUUUUUCACCUGAUCUCCUGCAGAUUCAUCACACCUCUUACUGAAAUCAAUUCAGAAAGAAUGAGACUCUUAAAGGGUUCUUUGUUCUGUGCAAAUUAUGAAUCUUCAGUGUGUGAGUUGAUUAAAACUUCACAUGAAUGGGUUAUCCCUCUUCUGGUUCACACAAUUAUGG
Molecule: non-coding RNA, 1001 nt
Organism: Pelodiscus sinensis (Chinese soft-shelled turtle)
Lineage: Eukaryota; Metazoa; Chordata; Testudines; Trionychidae
Source: RefSeq, a predicted model, not a curated record